This is a small nuclear RNA of Choloepus hoffmanni (Hoffmann's two-fingered sloth), 117 nucleotides long. Its record names the gene U5. It matches the Rfam family "U5 spliceosomal RNA". From Rfam's summary of the family: U5 RNA is a component of both types of known spliceosome. The precise function of this molecule is unknown, though it is known that the 5' loop is required for splice site selection and p220 binding, and that both the 3' stem-loop and the Sm site are important for Sm protein binding and cap methylation. Lineage: Eukaryota; Metazoa; Chordata; Mammalia; Pilosa; Megalonychidae. The record is from Ensembl.
AUAGUCUGUUUUUUCUUCAGAACGUAUAAAUCUUUUGCCUUUUACUAAAGAUUUCCGUGGAGAAAAACGGUAACGAGUUUGUAAGCGAAUUUUUGGAAGCCUUGUUUUGGGGAGGCU